AAGGGCCAGGGAUCAGCAAGACCAGGCAGCCCACCUGCUUGUUCCAGGUGAAGCAUUUCGGCCCCCAUGGGGUGGAUGCAGGGGAAGCAGCAAUGCCAGCAGCUUCCCCCCUGCUUUGCCCACUGCAGCUGCUGCACUUCCAGCCAUCCCCACGAGAUGCUGCUGCAGCCUGUAGGAAGAAGGCAGCCAACAGCCCACCUAUGUGAGGGCAUCCAAGCCCUGCUGCCUGCCUUCCAUCCUAGCCACCCCCACAAGCACUCCUUGCCAGAACCCAGCUGUCUGUUUGCAUCAGGCACCACCAGUUACCAGCAUCUAAAAGGAGGGUGGGUGGGUGCCCAACAGCUGCAUUUCCUAGCAGUGCAGCACAGCAGUCACAGGAUACCAUCAUGUAUGGUAACUGUUCAAUCACAGCCUGAACCACUCAUUGAGCACCUGGGGAAAAGACCCAGACAGCCCUGGGAGCACAGGUGAAGGCAAUUCCCUUGUAUGACCCACAGGGGUGGGGCCUAGAUGCACCUCUCUUAGACCUCAUUUAAGGGCUGACUGCCACUGAGAAAGAACCUCUGGUUGGAGAUCCCUCCUCUGUGGAGCUUUUCCUGGGAGUCUUGCUCUUCAGAGACAGAGCAGAGCUGGCAGCCCUGGUUUUGCCAUAGAGGCUGCAGAAGACAGGUGUUGGGGAAAAUGAAGAGACAACAAUGGCAUCAUCACUGCAAGGAGCAGCAUGGAGCACCCCAAGGUGGGACGAGGGACAUCACCCUGCACUGAUGGUGACUCAGUUCCUCUCACCUUGGAGCGAUGGACCUCA
Non-coding RNA from Coturnix japonica (Japanese quail), 805 nucleotides. The record is from RefSeq and is a predicted model, not a curated record. NCBI's taxonomy places the organism in Eukaryota, Metazoa, Chordata, Aves, Galliformes, Phasianidae.